RNAcentral lists this ribosomal RNA (403 nucleotides) under Fusobacteriota bacterium. RNAcentral describes it as "Fusobacteria bacterium partial 16S ribosomal RNA". It matches the Rfam family "Bacterial small subunit ribosomal RNA", at positions 355 to 776 of the family's 1533-position model. The record is from RNAcentral. Lineage: Bacteria; Fusobacteriati; Fusobacteriota.
UGGGGAAUAUUGCACAAUGGAGGGAACUCUGAUGCAGCGACGCCGCGUGAACGAAGAAGGCUUUCGAGUCGUAAAGUUCUUUUAUAUGGGAAGAUAAUGACGGUACCAUAAGAAAAAGCCCCGGCUAAAUACGUCACAGCACCCGCGGUAAUACGUAGGGGGCUAGCGUUGUCCGGAAACACGGGGCGUAAAGGGUUCGCAGGCGGAAAUGCAAGUCAGGUGUAAAAGGCAGUAGCUUAACUACUGUAAGCAUUUGAAACUGCAUAUCUUGAGAAGAGUAGAGGUAAGUGGAAUUUUUAGUGUAGCGGUGAAAUGCGUAGAUAUUAAAAAGAAUACCGGUGGCGAAGGCGACUUACUGGGCUCAUUCUGACGCUGAGGAACGAAAGCGUGGGUAGCAAACAGG